Molecule: small nuclear RNA, 107 nt
Filed under: Sciurus vulgaris (Eurasian red squirrel)
Lineage: Eukaryota; Metazoa; Chordata; Mammalia; Rodentia; Sciuridae
Source: RNAcentral
GUGUUGGCUUCAACAGCACAUACACUAAAAUGGGAAUGAUACAGAGAAAAUUGGCAUGGCCCCUGUGUACGGAUAACAUACAUUUUCAGAAAACAUUCCAUAUGUUU